CCAUUUCCACCCAUAAUUCUUUUCUCCUUCUUCUCUCUUCUCUCUCUCUUCACUCUCUCUUCGCCGCCUCUACGCCGCCGCCGGAAAUCGCCCACCGACGGCGGACCACCUCCAAACCAUCUCAAAAUUUUAUCAUGUAAUCUCCAAUACCUCCUCUUUCUAUAUCUCCAAACCAAAUCCUUCAAAAACCCCUCAAACUCCUUGAAUCUUAGAUCUAGAAAACUUUCCCGUCACUUUUUUGCCCAAAUUCUUGAAGCUCCAACCACUAUCACCCCACAAUACCUACAUCAACAGAUAGAGCUCCUCAAGACCUAGCUAUUGAUGCCAAUUUCACACUGAAAUCCGGCGACCAAAAUCCGACCAAAUUCCGGCGGUCUCCCCGAACACUCUCUUUUGGCAUACCACCAUUUUUUCGGCCACUUGAAUUGUAAAAUGGUAAAUAUCAUAUUCUUUUUUCAUGGCUGAUUUUUUAUUUUAUUUUUAUUUUUCAGAUUUUUAUUUUGUCUAUUAUUAAUUAUUUUAGCAUUAGUUUUUGAAGUUUGAAAUGUUAAAUUUUCUGUUUUUGCACUUGUUGAAGUAGUAAAAUAGCUUUUUAUUGAUAAAAGUGAGGUAGUGAGGAAAUACUUGAGAGUAUAUGGUAAAAUUGUAAUCCUGCCCCGUUAUUAAUUUUCUGAUUUUUUGGGUUAGAAUUAGUUUCUGUCUUGUUUCUUUAUUUAAUCCAUUUCUGAUUAUGUUUGUCUAGUUGGUUUGUUAAAUCGCUUCAGCAAUAGCGUGUGUUCUGUCUGGCUUUAACAGUUAAUUUUUGUUUGCUCAUGUUGGUUCAUAGUACAUGUGUUGAAGUUUAAUUACAUGUUUUAAUACUUAGUUUAAUUUGAAUCAAUAGGGUGAUAUUGGUGUUGCUAAAAUCUGAAAUUUAGAUAUUUUUAUCACAAAAUAGGGUGCUAGUAGCCUACUUUUACUAGUAGGUUGGCUGAAAUGACAUUUUUUCUCCUUGCUUCUGGCAUAGUAGAUUUUGGACAGAUUUUGAACAGUGUUUAGCACACAAUGUCAGUCCUUGUCGGGUAGACUUUUGGUGAACCAAAAUGUGUCCAAAAAGUUGGCUUUUCUUUGCCUAUUUAAGGGGCUGCCCUUUCCUCAUUAUAGGGGGGACUCCAUCACACUUCCAUAGAGCAUUUUAUUUUUGCUUUGAACAUACAAAAACAAAAAAAAAAUUCAGCAGCUGAAGCAUCCUUUAGUAAGCUGAAAUUGUAAGACUUAAGAGUAAAUCUUAGAGUGCAAACUUUUUUUAGAAAAGUAUAAGUCCUCUUUAGAGUUUGUUUUUGGGUUUCUUCUAUGAGUUUCGGGCUGUUUUAACACGAAUUUGCUGCUGGUUUUGUGGUUGUUGUGCUGUUGUUUUUAUGCUGCUUUAAUUGCUGGACUACUAUUUAUUCUUUUGCUAUCCAGGUAAUCCUUUAAGACUCGUAAGGUAUGUAUUUUCAGCAAUGAGAACAACUUGAACAUGCUGCAUCAUUUAAAUGUGUUUGAUGUGGUGAAUAGUUCGACAACAAAGCUAGAAAAUAAUAAUAAUAUCAGAUUUUUCUACUAUUUUUAAUUAACUCGUUUGCUUUUAAUUAAUUUAAACGCUAGGCAAUUAGUAGGCGCGCUUUAACUCACGGAAUUACUUGUGUAGCGUGAUGUUUUAACGUUCAUUAAAUUAAUUCAAUAAUCUCACAUGCCUAUUAAUUUUAGUUAAUUCUCAAUUUAGUUAAUCUUUUUGUUAAGAUCGCGGAUUCGCUUGCGUAGCGCGAUAGUUGAUUUUUUUUAAAUAAUUUUCAAAACUAAUUUCUUCGAAUGUUGUAAUUUUCCCAGAAGUAAAUAACGUGCUAACAAUCAUUUGUCAUGACUGCGGAUUCGCUUGCGUAGCGCCGUUAUGACUAAAUAAUAAAUUUUGUCGAUCACGCAUUCGCUUGAGUAGUGUGGUUAUGACAUCUUCUUAUUCAAAAAUAUUAUUUAAUUUUUCUAAUAAUCAAGAGAUAAAAGCGGAUAGGUAAAACAUGAAAAUAAUAUAAAUCAUAGUUUGUCCAAAAUUAAUUCAAGCCAAAUGUAGUCGUUAAAGCGACCAUGCUAGAACCACGGGACUCGGGGAAUGCCUUACACCUUCUCCCCGAUCAACAGAAUUCCUUACCCGGACUUGUUUUUGCAGACCAAUAAUAAUAGAGUCAAACCUUCCUUUGAAUAGGGAUUAAAAUAAAAGGUGACUUGGAACACCGACAAAAAUCAAUUCCCAGUGGCGACUCUGUAAAUAAAAUAAUCCCUAUUUCAAAUUUGUCACUUCAAGUGGAAAAACUCUUUAACCCACAAUCCAUAACACGUUACAUUUUGUACAUAUCUUUUGGAGGGGUAAAAAAGGGGUAUGACAGCUCUGGCGACUCUGCUGGGGAAAAUACCAAAAUUCGAGCUUGUACAUGUUGACUUUUAUCUGGCUUUAUUAAUUUUGUAUAUAUUGUGAUUUAUUUGUGCCUAAUGUGCUACAUGUUCGUUUUUUACUGCUUCGAUAUUGUUGAACUGUACAUAUAAACUAUCUUCUCACGCACCCCCUCUAAGUCUUCUUGAAAUUAAAAAUUGGGCAUUUGCAUGACAUAGACCGCUUUCUUUGAGAUAGCCGAGGUGCUUGUCACCCGGUGAAAGAUUUUAUUCAUACAUACUUUUAGGUGGGGAGCACCACUAGUUAAGCCGGAAAGCAAUGCUACCGGUACACUGACCCUCCUCGGCUCGAGUUGUCCACUCGAGUAAGCCAGUCUAGAUAUCUUCUCCACUAGGAUUUAAACCUAGAAGAACAAACCUCAUGCCGAAUAUCCCUAGUAGGUUCGUUUAAUGUGCAUCACAUGCAUUUGACUUAGCGAAACUCGGCAUAAGGGCCGGGUCCGUAUAAGACAGGUAUCCUCUUUGAGAUCAUUAUAUCCACUUAUGUGCUACUUGCUACAUUAUUUGGAAGGCUUGCAUACAUUGUCGAUCGGCUUUAGAAAAUUGGCGUAGCAGAAUUAUUAAAAAAAGAGAAGAAAAAAAGGGAGUCAUUCUUUUAGUUUAGCGCAAAUAAACCCCUUUUAGAAGAAAUAUUUUGUUAGUAGCCUGGUGUGAGGUUUAAGGAUUAUUUUUCAUAAAACUCAAAAGGGAAAAGUACUUAGUUUCACCGAACUACGCGGGUCUGAUUCUCACAGGAUGUGAGAUACGUAAGCAAACCUCAUCGGUUUCGGCCCCCAAUUUUCCAAAAAAAAAAGAAGAAAAAUCCAAACAUAUUCUCCUUUUUCCUUAAUUCCUUCUUAGAAAUCUUUCCUUAGAAAAUGAAAAAAAAUCCAAAAAAUAAAAUAAAAUAAUUUCUUUCAAAAAAAAAAACUUUUUUCAAAAAUUCCAAAAAAAGGAUUGAAUUCCAAAAUACUUUUCUUCUUUCACAAUUGAAAGGAAAAAUUUUCAAAAUUCAAAAAUGUUUUAUUUCUUCUUUAGAAGUCUUUCUUUCAAAAAUUUCAAAAAAAAAACUUAAAAAAAAACUUUUAAAAAAAGAAAAAUAUCUUUUUUUUAGAAGUCUUUCUUUCAAUAAUUCAAUAAAAAAUUAAAUCCAAAACAAAAACUUUCUUUUGAAGCCUUUCUUUCUACAAAAAAAAAUCCAAAAUUUUUUCCUUGUUAGGAGCUUUCUUUGGAGUUAUUUGUAUAUGAGUAAAGAAAAAAAUGAGAGUUAUUUUGUUUACUUUAUUUAUUAUUUUUCCGAACUACGCAAAAUCUGAUUCAUGCGGUGUAAUGAUACGUAGACAAUUUCCAUCGGAUUCGAUCAUAGCCAUAGAAUUAGUUGAGUGAAAAAUAAACUAAAAGAAAAAGAGAAAGAAAAUUGAGUGAAAAAAAAAAUGAAAAAAGAAAAGGAAAAGAAAGUUACAUAAAAUAAAAGAGUGAAAAAAAGAGAAAAAGAGAGUGCCAAAAUAGAAAAGCGACAUAAACAAAACAAAAAUUAAGAGUGAUUAGAGAGAAGCAAAAAUGAAGAAAAGAGGUGCAGAUUGAAAAAAGGGAUAAUUAAGGCCGGGAUGAAACAUGCAACUCGUUCAAACACAUAGUAGAAAUGUUUAACUGUUUAGGUGCAUUGCAUCCCAAUAUGUGAUUUCUUAUCUAUUAAGCAUCUCAAAACUAACAAGGUUGUUGGGUGUGCAAAUUAGAUCCAGGUUUUGGUGAUUGGUUUUGUUGGUAGUCUAGCCUCCCC
Molecule: long non-coding RNA, 4222 nt
Filed under: Nicotiana tabacum (common tobacco)
Lineage: Eukaryota; Viridiplantae; Streptophyta; Magnoliopsida; Solanales; Solanaceae
Description: long non-coding RNA (NTAB_LNC000111)
Source: RNAcentral